CGCGAGACCGAGCCGGAGCUCGGCGCGACUGGUCGGGACGGUUAUUGGGCCUAAAGCGCCCGUAGCCGGCCUAGCAAGUCCCCUCCUAAAUACCCCGGCUCAACCGGGGAGGUGGAGGGGAUACUGCUAGGCUAGGGGCGGAGAGGCCGAGGGUACUCCCGGGUAAUGGAGGCAUGAGCCUUGCGCUCACCCUCCACCCCAUGGGCGAAAUCCUAUAAUCCCGGGAGGACCACCAGUGGCGAAGGC
This 246-nucleotide ribosomal RNA is filed under the name uncultured archaeon. Its description in RNAcentral is "partial 16S ribosomal RNA". It matches the Rfam family "Archaeal small subunit ribosomal RNA", at positions 440 to 673 of the family's 1478-position model. The record is from RNAcentral.